Molecule: small nuclear RNA, 299 nt
Filed under: Cercocebus atys (sooty mangabey)
Lineage: Eukaryota; Metazoa; Chordata; Mammalia; Primates; Cercopithecidae
Description: 7SK RNA (ENSCATG00000002755.1)
Rfam family: 7SK RNA
About the family: 7SK was discovered as an abundant small nuclear RNA in the mid-70s but a possible function has only recently been suggested. Two independent studies have found that 7SK RNA binds the CDK9/cyclin T complex (known as elongation factor P-TEFb).
Source: Rfam by way of RNAcentral
GGCUGUGAGGGUGAUCUGGCUGCGACAUUUGUCACCCCUUUGAUGGCCAGGGUUGAUUAGGCUGAUCUGGCUGGCUAGGCAGGUGUCCUUUCCUCCCUCCCUGCUCCAUGUGCAUCCCUCCUGAAGCUGCAUACUCAGCCAGAGAGGAUGACCGUCCCGAUGGACCGGUCUUUGGUGAAGGGUGUAUGAGUAGCUGCGCUCCCCUGCCAGAACCUCCGAACAAGCUCUCAGAUUACUAAAUUAUCAGGAACCAAUGUCUUUGGAGAAUAUUUUCUAAUCUUUCCAGAGGUGUUUUUGUG